RNAcentral lists this long non-coding RNA (1538 nucleotides) under Macaca fascicularis (crab-eating macaque). Its description in RNAcentral is "lncRNA (ENSMFAG00000059101.1)". Lineage: Eukaryota; Metazoa; Chordata; Mammalia; Primates; Cercopithecidae. The record is from RNAcentral.
GCCCCCAGGUAAAAAGUACACUGGAUGCACACUAACCGACUCUUCUGUUUUGGUUGAUUAGCCUCUCAGAAAAAGAAUGCCAAUCCUUAAAAGGAAACACGUGGUCCAUCUAUUCAAAUCAAAACCAUUGUGAGAAUUCAGCAGUCCUGCUGUCUCUCCUCAGCCCACACAAGGCUCUUUCUGCCUCUAGAAAGGAAGUUCCAAGGGUAAACAAGGACAGGCUUUGCAGGUACAGCAGUAAAAGAAAUUGUAAGUCAUAAUUAGGUUCCAUUGAAGAUUUGAUGAAGGCAAAGAAGCUGCAACACCUUUCAGACCUUUGGGCUCACACCAUUAAUACCUCUGAUCUUGAAGACAAACGACAAUUUGGGUUCAGCAGAGCAAGCAUUAGAUUUCCCUGUGCAGACCGUGUUGUGAUUCAAUGGCCGUUACUUGUCUGCAGGCAAUGGAGUGGCUCUAGAGAAGGACACACAUCUUGUAGCAAUGCAUCUGACUCAGAUGAUAGACUUGGAUGGGCUUCUCAUAAGGGCAAACAGGACCAGAGGAUUUAAGAGCCUGCCCAGCCAUGCUUCUUGCCCUGAGCCUGGAGCGCAGGCAUUGCCUUAUUGAAGGUGAGUCUUCUGAUGACCUGGGAGAGAAGAUGGGAGGGGCUUCAGAGAUACUGCAAAGGAGCGUCCCCUUUUGCUAGAGCUAGGUAAGACAUGGCUGGUGAGUGCUUCUUUUUCAUCCCUAAAAAUAACAGUAACAAAAACGGUCAUAAUUAACUUGAAUUAACAGCUUAUAAUGUGUCUGCCUAUGUGCUCCCUGCUUUAGGAGAGGUCAUUUCUUUCGAUCAGGCUCUGUGAAGUAGGUUUAACGUGUACAUUGUAGAGACAAGGAAAUUGAGGUUUACAGGGAUUAGGCAGUUUAUCAACAGUCAUGAGAGGAGUCAGUAGAGGAUAUUGUGGGUCUAACCCCGGAACCCAAGCCUUCCAUCACCGUAGUGGCAGUUUCUCUCUUGAUCCCACUGUGCUAGACCAGCCCUGUUUGGAAGCAGGCAUAUGUUCCUCCAUCCAGCCUCUUUCUAGGACUCUGGGCAUGGAUGGGUACCUAAGGUCCUCAUGGUUUUUUGCACUCCUCCUUCAUAAUGUGCUUAUGGAGAAUUAUAUAAUAUAAUAGUUUCGUAUCUCAGUGUUAAAGACUAAGAAUUGACACAUUUCUCUCAGGGAAUCUGUACCUCAAUUCUUGGACAGUAUUAGUAAUCUUUUUCUAGCUUUAUGUAGGUAUGAUUGACAAGUAAAAAUUGUAUAUAUUCAGGGUAUACAAUGUGAUGUUUUGAUAUACGUGUAUAUUGUGAAAUGAUUACUACAAUCUAAUUAACAUAUCCAUUACCUCACAUAGUUACUGUGUGUGUGUGUGUGUGUGUUGAGAACACUUGAGAUCUACUCUACUAGCAAUACAGUAUAAUGAACUAUUAAUCACCAUACUGUACUCCAGAACUGAUUCAUCUUAUAACUGCAGGAUGUUGUCCUUUGACCAACAUCUUCCUUUUCUCCCUAUCC